Molecule: transfer RNA, 73 nt
Filed under: Lycium sp.
Lineage: Eukaryota; Viridiplantae; Streptophyta; Magnoliopsida; Solanales; Solanaceae
Description: partial tRNA-His
Rfam family: tRNA (bases 22-73)
About the family: Transfer RNA (tRNA) molecules are approximately 80 nucleotides in length. Their secondary structure includes four short double-helical elements and three loops (D, anti-codon, and T loops).
Source: RNAcentral
GGAAUGUAAGUACGCGAGGGGGCAGAUGUAGCCAAGUGGAUCAAGGCAGUGGAUUGUGAAUCCACCAUGCGCG